AUUGAACGCUGGCGGCAUGCUUUACACAUGCAAGUCGAGCGGCAGCGCGGGGGCAACCCUGGCGGCGAGCGGCGAACGGGUGAGUAAUGCAUCGGAACGUGUCCUUGAGUGGGGGAUAACCCGGCGAAAGCCGGGCUAAUACCGCAUGCGCUCUGAGGAGGAAAGCGGGGGACCCUGAGGGAAACUGAGGGGCCUCGCGCUCGUGGAGCGGCCGAUGUCCGAUUAGGUAGUUGGGGGGUAAUGGCCUACCAAGCCUGCGAUCGGUAGCUGGUCUGAGAGGAUGAUCAGCCACACUGGGACUGAGACACGGCCCAGACUCCUACGGGAGGCAGCAGUGGGGAAUUUUGGACAAUGGGGCAACCCUGAUCCAGCCAUGCCGCGU
Molecule: ribosomal RNA, 382 nt
Filed under: uncultured bacterium
Lineage: Bacteria
Description: bacterial SSU rRNA
Rfam family: Bacterial small subunit ribosomal RNA
Source: RNAcentral